GUCUACGGCCAUACCACCCUGAACGCGCCCAAUCUCGUCUGAUCUCGGAAGCUAAGCAGGGUCGGGCCUGGUUAGUACUUGGAUGGGAGAAAAACUUUACCAACUAUAGUAGAGGAAAGGAAAUGUUCUAAUCU
This 134-nucleotide ribosomal RNA is filed under the name Panthera pardus (leopard). The record is from RNAcentral. Lineage: Eukaryota; Metazoa; Chordata; Mammalia; Carnivora; Felidae.